Molecule: ribosomal RNA, 250 nt
Filed under: uncultured bacterium
Lineage: Bacteria
Description: partial 16S ribosomal RNA
Rfam family: Bacterial small subunit ribosomal RNA
Source: RNAcentral
ACGGAAGAUGCGAGCGUUAUCCGGAUUUAUUGGGUUUAAAGGGAGCGUAGGCGGGCUUUUAAGUCAGCGGUCAAAUGUCACGGCUCAACCGUGGCCAGCCGUUGAAACUGCAAGCCUUGAGUCUGCACAGGGCACAUGGAAUUCGUGGUGUAGCGGUGAAAUGCUUAGAUAUCACGAAGAACUCCGAUCGCGAAGGCAUUGUGCCGGGGCAGCACUGACGCUGAGGCUCGAAAGUGCGGGUAUCAAACAG